AGGAGCACAGUUUUUGCUCUGCUAAGAAAUGGCCGACGGCGAAGCACUCUGCGAAGCAGCUCGGAAUGGUGAAAUCAGCAGUAUUAAAUCUCUGAUUGAUUCCGGCGGCGAUGUCACCUACUUUGACAAAGACGGACUUACUCCGCUGAUGCACGCCGCCAAGCACGGCCAUGCCGAGGUCGUAAAGGCUCUCCUUGAUGCUAGUGCCCCAUGGAAUGCCCUGACCCCUUCCAAUGUCUCCG
RNAcentral lists this unclassified non-coding RNA (242 nucleotides) under Hevea brasiliensis (rubber tree). The record is from RNAcentral. Lineage: Eukaryota; Viridiplantae; Streptophyta; Magnoliopsida; Malpighiales; Euphorbiaceae.